Molecule: ribosomal RNA, 276 nt
Filed under: uncultured Sphingobacteriales bacterium
Lineage: Bacteria; Pseudomonadati; Bacteroidota; Sphingobacteriia; Sphingobacteriales
Description: partial 16S ribosomal RNA
Rfam family: Bacterial small subunit ribosomal RNA
Source: RNAcentral
UUUACGUUGCCAUCAGGUAAUGCUGGGGACGUCUAAAGGAACUGCCUACGCAAGUAGUGAGGAAGGCGGGGAGUGACGUCAAAUCAGCACGGCCCUUACGUCCAGGGCUACACACGUGCUACAAUGGCCGAUACAGAGGGCAGCUACCUGGUGACAGGAUGCAAAUCUCCAAAGUCGGUCUCAGUUCGGAUCGGAGUCUGCAACCCGACUCCGUGAAGUUGGAUUCGCUAGUAAUCGCGCAUCAGCCAUGGCGCGGUGAAUACGUUCCCGGGCCUU